AAGAAAUUUGAGAUGCUGUUAUAGUAGUCAAAUUAUUGUGUAACAGAAGGAUUUGUGACUUGUGACAAGAUAAUAGGUCAUCAAGCAACUUAUUAUUGGGAUAUUGCUUUCAUAUAGAUGACUAUAAUUUUGAGUAUUUGAUAUCUGAUUUCUUGCAUGAUUUUGUAUUAUAUGUUGUAAUAUUUUUAUGUCAUCAUCUUAUUUCCAAAGCAAUUAAGUAUUUUGCCCUCUUUAUGCUUGAAGAUUGGAUUUGGGUAGUGUUGCUAAGUUGUUUACACAAUCUUGCUUGCUAUUGGUUUCAU
Molecule: unclassified non-coding RNA, 302 nt
Filed under: Hevea brasiliensis (rubber tree)
Lineage: Eukaryota; Viridiplantae; Streptophyta; Magnoliopsida; Malpighiales; Euphorbiaceae
Source: RNAcentral